Molecule: unclassified non-coding RNA, 851 nt
Filed under: Orientallactaga sibirica (Mongolian five-toed jerboa)
Lineage: Eukaryota; Metazoa; Chordata; Mammalia; Rodentia; Dipodidae
Description: partial external transcribed spacer 2
Source: RNAcentral
AGUUGGACAGGGGACGGCUGGGAGUUCAAGCUUGCUGAUCCUGAUGAGGUAUGGCAGAGCCUGGGGAGAUCUUCUGGCUCCAAACCCUCCUCUUUGAGCACGAGGCUGAUCGCCAAGGCCGAUCACCAAGGCCCAUUAAGAGCCCCCGACUCUUAGGCGUCUUGGCUGUCUGUCUGGCAUUGCUUUGGAUAACUGUGCCUGAUGUCCUUUGGGUAAUGUCCUCUGCCCGUGGACAUGGGGAGAUUCCUCUCCUCACUCUGUGGUGUAGCAGUGGCCAGAGCAGCAAACUGAGGCUCUCUGGCCACCCUCAGCGAGGCUCAUUUGCCUUUGUCCUUUGGGGAUCAAGGCACAUAGCAGCAGGACAGUCCUCAAGGUUGGCACCUAAUCUCCCUGUGGGAGAAGGCUGUGGCAGGCAGGAUGCCAGCUGUCCCCAGACAGUUUUAAAGAAGCCCCUGGUCUCUGGCAUUAUGGAGUGCAGUUGUCCCUUCGCUCUGUCCCUGGGGAGUGAGCAUAUUACAAGGCCCAGAAUCCUCUCUACAGCUGUUUACUUUAGGAGUUAGAAUAAGAAUCCUGGCACAUCAUGCCACCAGCGUGUCCUUUGUCUCAGGAUCUCCUGGUUGAUCUCAGCUAUUGACAUCUGGAGGCUUUGCCAAGGCAGAGCUAGGGACAGGGACUGUGCUGUCCCUUAUGCAGAACAGGAAUCAAGAAUUCAGUGUCCCUUGCCUGCUUGGCUAGAAGUGAGCUGAUCACCCAUAGGCAUCUGUGGCUGUCAGAUUCUCUAGGGUGAGCACCCAGAGUCAGUGGACCAAUGUGACUCUUGCCUCUCUCCCUGUAUACCGAAGGUGGCCCGC